This 252-nucleotide ribosomal RNA is filed under the name uncultured bacterium. Its description in RNAcentral is "partial 16S ribosomal RNA". It matches the Rfam family "Bacterial small subunit ribosomal RNA", at positions 524 to 776 of the family's 1533-position model. The record is from RNAcentral.
UACGGAGGAUGCGAGCGUUAUCCGGAUUUAUUGGGUUUAAAGGGUGCGUAGGCGGCCUGCCAAGUCAGCGGUAAAAUUGCGGGGCUCAACCCCGUACAGCCGUUGAAACUGCCGGGCUCGAGUGGGCGAGAAGUAUGCGGAAUGCGUGGUGUAGCGGUGAAAUGCAUAGAUAUCACGCAGAACCCCGAUUGCGAAGGCAGCAUACCGGCGCCCGUCUGACGCUGAGGCACGAAAGUGCGGGGAUCAAACAGG